Molecule: long non-coding RNA, 331 nt
Organism: Suricata suricatta (meerkat)
Lineage: Eukaryota; Metazoa; Chordata; Mammalia; Carnivora; Herpestidae
Exons: 3
Source: RefSeq, a predicted model, not a curated record
CAGAGGCCAAACUGCAAGAGGACACAGGGAGCCCCCUGAUCCUCCUGCGGGGAGGGCUCCAAAGGCCUGCACAAGAUGGUGUGCCUCAGAACCACCCGUUAAGGGAAAAGAUGGAAAUUUCAGGUUCAUAGAUUUUUAAGAAUAAAAAUUCAAUUCAGCUGAAGUUGAACAGCCAAAAAAUUGCCCUUUGAUUACUCCAACAUCUUCAACAAAAGAAUAUUAAGGAAAAUAUUGUUAAUGCCACAAGAGACACACGCAGCAAUUAUUAUAUAUGUCAACGAUAACUCGGCAAGGCUGCAACCACAGCUCGACAUCCUUUUUCAUUAGGCAG